AAAUACCGAGGCGUUCGGGUGAACUAUGGUUAAGGAACUCGGCAAAAUGCCCCCGUAACUUCGGGAGAAGGGGGGCCAUCACCGGUGAUCCGUUUUACACGGUGAGCUGGGGGUGGCCGCAGAGACCAGCGAGAAGCGACUGUUUACUAAAAACACAGGUCCGUGCGAAGCCGUAAGGCGAUGUAUACGGACUGACGCCUCCCCGGUGCUGGAACGUUAAGGGGACCGGUUAGUCACAAUUCGUUGUGGCGAAGCUGAGAACUUAAGCGCCAGUAAACGGCGGUGGUAACUAUAACCAUCCUAAGGUAGCGAAAUUCCUUGUCGGGUAAGUUCCGACCUGCACGAAUGGCGUAACGACUUCUCGACUGUCUCAACCAUAGGCCCGGUGAAAUUGCACUACGAGUAAAGAUGCUCGUUUCGCGCAGCAGGACGGAAAGACCCCGGGACCUUUACUACAGUUUGAUAUUGGUGUUCGGUUCGGCUUGUGUAGGAUAGCUGGGAGACUGUGAACUCUGGACGCCAGUUCAGGGGGAGUCGUCGUUGAAAUACCAGUCUGGUCGUGCUGGAUGUCUAACCUGGGUCCGUGAUCCGGAUCAGGGACAGUGUCUGAUGGGUAGUUUAACUGGGGCGGUUGCCUCCUAAAGAGUAACGGAGGCGCCCAAAGGUUCCCUCAGCCUGGUUGGCAAUCAGGUGUUGAGUGUAAGUGCACAAGGGAGCUUGACUGUGAGACCGACGGGUCGAGCAGGGACGAAAGUCGGGACUAGUGAUCCGGCGGUGGCUUGUGGAAGCGCCGUCGCUCAACGGAUAAAAGGUACCCCCGGGGAUAACAGGCUGAUCUUCCCCAAGAGUCCAUAUCGACGGGAUGGCUUGGCACCUCGAUGUCGGCUCGUCGCAUCCUGGGGCUGGAGUCGGUCCCAAGGGUUGGGCUGUUCGCCCAUUAAAGCGGUACGCGAGCUGGGUUUAGAACGUCGCGAGACAGUUCGGUCCCUAUCCGCUGCGCGCGCAGGAACAUUGAGAAGGGCUGUCCCUAGUACGAGAGGACCGGGGCGGACGAACCUCUGGUGUGCCAGUUGUUCUGCCAAGGGCAUGGCUGGUUGGCUACGUUCGGGAGGGAUAACCGCUGAAAGCAUCUAAGCGGGAAGCCUGCUUCGAGAUGAGUGUUCCCACCCACUAGAUGGGUUAAGGCUCCCAGUAGACGACUGGGUUGAUAGGCCGGAUCUGGAAGGCGGGUAACCGCUGGAGGUGACCGGUACUAAUAGGCCGAGGGCUUGUCCUC
Molecule: ribosomal RNA, 1276 nt
Filed under: metagenome
Description: bacterial LSU rRNA
Rfam family: Bacterial large subunit ribosomal RNA
Source: RNAcentral